GGCCAUUGCUUAUAUGCCUCAGAAAAGUUUUCGACUUUCUAAUUUACCUCUUUUAGAAGGCUAAUAUUGAAAAUACCUUUUUUAUGUUCCAACUUAUUUCAAAUAUAUCUAUAGAAUUAAAUUCUGUUAAUGAACUGUUAGCAAUAGCUGUUAUCUCUAUGAAAUUACCAUUUUACUCUUUCAAAUAUAUCUUCUACUAUUACCGACUUUUUUUAAUUGUUCUUAAGUGAGGGGCACAAAAAAGUAUUUUUGAUUUUUUGUAUUUUCAAAUAUACCCUUCAACCAUCAUCAAUAUUUCUUAUUUGCCCUUAAGUUAAGGACAAAAGAGACAUUUUAUUUUUUUUAACUAUGGUAAAUAUUUAACUCAUGUUUAACCCAAGUUAACUCAACGGAUGGUAACUGUAGGGAUAUUUUAAAAUAACAGAAGAACAUAUGAGGGUUAUAUAGGCAAUUAUCUUUAGAGUUUACAUUUUGAUAAUAGGUUUUACAAACAGUGUAUACGACGUAUUCAUACAUCCUGUGCCCAGAACAUUAUCUUCUUUACUAUUCUAAUUUUCUAUUAUUUUAUUAAUAUAUAUAAAUUAUUUUUCUAGCUUUUCCCUCAAAUUUUUUCACAUAUGCUUUAUAAAAUAACAUGGCAUUGCAUGGGUCCUUAACUACUGAAAGGAGAAAUUGAGACUAGCAACAUGUAUUCAUGAUAUAUAGAAGAUUAUAUGAAUAUAUAAACAGCUAACGACCUGGCCCACUAAUAAUAAUAACUUAUUGGACUCAAACCACUGGCCAAAAAUGCUUAAGCCAAGUUAUUAUUACUAAUGUUUAUGGUCUCUUAUAUAUUUAAUUACAGUGCUAUUUGCAUCAAAUAUGAGAUUAUUGGAGCGUCACAGAUUCUCACUUUUUAGACUAACUUGUCUCACUAGCUUUAUCAUUCUGACCCUAACUUAGCUUGUCACCUUAUCAUUCUGACCCUAACUUAGACUAUCAUUCAAACCUUGGCUUAGUUGAGACUUAUCUCACACUUCCGGCUGAUAAUCGGCUCUAAUACCAAAUGUAAGCAUCUGGCCCACUAGCAAUAAUAACUUGUUGGGCCCAAACUACCGGCUUAAAAUGGUUAAGUCCAGUUAUUAUUGUUAGUAUCCAUAAUCUCUUGUGUACUUAAUUACACCUCAUUCCCAUUUGACGUGAGACUAUUGGGGUAUCACACAAUAAUACAUGUGAGUCUUACAUCGAAUAGAAAAAUAAAAUAUGAUUGAGAAUAUAAGGGAUUACGAACCCUAGAGAUAAUAACUAGGUUUCAGCAUUUUAGGCCGGUAGUUUGGG
RNAcentral lists this long non-coding RNA (1317 nucleotides) under Ananas comosus (pineapple). Its description in RNAcentral is "long non-coding RNA (ACOM_LNC034764)". The record is from RNAcentral. Lineage: Eukaryota; Viridiplantae; Streptophyta; Magnoliopsida; Poales; Bromeliaceae.